RNAcentral lists this ribosomal RNA (433 nucleotides) under uncultured bacterium. RNAcentral's name for it is "partial 16S ribosomal RNA". It matches the Rfam family "Bacterial small subunit ribosomal RNA", at positions 29 to 507 of the family's 1533-position model. The record is from RNAcentral.
AACGAACGCUGGCGGCAGGCCUAACACAUGCAAGUCGAGCGGACCCUUCGGGGUUAGCGGCGGACGGGUGAGUAACGCGUGGGAACGUGCCCUUUGCUUCGGAAUAGCCCUGGGAAACUGGGAGUAAUACCGGAUACGCCCUUUUGGGGAAAGAUUUAUCGGCGAAGGAUCGGCCCGCGUUGGAUUAGGUAGUUGGUGGGGUAAUGGCCUACCAAGCCGACGAUUCAUAGCUGGGUUGAGAGGAUGAUCAGCCACACUGGGACUGAGACACGGCCCAGACUCCUACGGGAGGCAGCAGUGGGGAAUCUUAGACAAUGGGGGAAACCCUGAUCGAGCCAUGCCGCGUGAGCGAUGAAGGCCUUAGGGUUGUAAAGCUCUUUCACCGGGGAAGAUAAUGACGGUACCCGGAGAAGAAGCCCCGGCUAACUCCGUG